Myodes glareolus (Bank vole) is the source of this 1767-nucleotide non-coding RNA. NCBI's taxonomy places the organism in Eukaryota, Metazoa, Chordata, Mammalia, Rodentia, Cricetidae. The record is from RefSeq and is a predicted model, not a curated record.
AACCCAUUUCCCAGGAAGAAAAGCCAAGGGUUAGAGGAGCCAAGAUCCCAAGGAUCACGCAGCCAACUCUGGCAUCUGAGACGGAUCUUCACCCUUCAAGACUGGCAUCGUUUCCACUGUACUCUGCCCUCCUCCAGCCGCAUUAGUCAAUUAUUCUUUGCCCUGACUAGAAGAAGUACCCCAAAGACAGGAAGAGAUUAAUUUCCCCUGAAGAUUGCCGGGCUCCACUCAGGGAACUUGGUUAUUGAGAAAAGAAUUAGAUAUUUGUCAGCAGGAGACAACAGCUUGUAGGGAAUGUGAUAAACUCAGCCGAGAGCCCGCCAAGGGUGACGGCCCAAAGCUGGUGACAGCAUGGGCCUUUUGGAUCUUGCGUAAGAAAACUACAGCUAGUGUUUGUCUAGCAUUUUACAGAUGGCAAAGUCCUUCCUGAGGCUUUGUCUCGUUUGACUCCAACAGCCCUGUGCUCUGAGGUGACUUCCUAUGUCAACGCAGUCACUAUGGGAAAUUGAGGCUUAGAGAAAUCCAGCUGGCAAUAAUGGGAGUGAAGACAGUGAGGAGGAAGAGGAGACGAGAAAAGCAGAAAAAAGAGGAGCCCUACACAGAUCGAACUUUCGGAAUGCUGACUGUUGAUUCAUUCCUGUCAUCCCUCUAAGUGGUCGUGUGCUCUUGCAUUGUCUGAGAAAGACGACACAGGUGUGACUGGGACCUCAGGGCAUCCUGACCGGGUGCUCCCUGACCCUGCUGUAGUGUUCAGAGCUCAUCAAAGCGUUGCCUCCUGUCUAGAGGCAGCCUCUGGGGAAGUGGCCGCAAGGGGGACCACGUCCAGUUAUUUCCUGUUUGUAUCAAGAAGGUGGCAUUCGCUAUACUGUUUUUGGAAAGAACAGAUAUGUAUGUCCAGGUGCUUUACAAAUAAAAAGGUCUGUCUAUAUCUUUGUGGUUCAUAAUAGCUACCUAAGAUUGAAUUCACUUCCAUGGACCACAGCAUCAAAAUAAUUUUGUGUGUGCUUGAACGGCUGACAACAAUGUAUUUGUAGUCAUCAGCCAGGCGUGUGGGAGAUGACACCAGAGAAGAGGACGGAAGAGAAAUGCUGUGAUGUCUUUAAGAAUUUGGUGCUAGUUGUAGAUUUAUUCAGUUGACAGGGAACCGCGCUCACCUCUGCUGACCUAAGAGAGCCGCCCCUGGGAUUAUGGAAAGUUGUCGCAGAAAUAUUGCAUUCUCUUAGCCAUGGGAGCUGCAUCAGCAUUUUAGAAGAUUGCUGAACUCAACUAUUUAGAGAGCCCUACAUCUUCUCCCCGACAGGACACCAGAGCAGCGGGGAGGAUGAGAGGGAAAGAGACGGCUCAGGAAGGAGCGUGGUGAUUUAAACGGAUCUCCUGUUCACUUUGAAAACGGGUGUCAAGCAGGCAGCUGGGAGUCGGGAUACUGUUCCAGCCGAGUCUUCUAGACUUGGGCAAUUGCUGUGUUCCUGACGAUUUGUGUGCCUGGAAGAGUUUUGUAAAACAGCCAUUUCAAGCCCCUUGGGAAGACCCUCUGGAAGUGUCUUUUGGGAUCAGGAUCCUUUGGGGACGGCAGCUUUAGAUGUUUCAUACAUUUGAAGUUUUAGGAUUUGGAUUGUUUUUGAAAGAUGAACAAGACUCACAAAAAUAUUUUGAGUUUCACUAGCAAUUUCUUAAAUGCUGGUUUGAUCAUAUUAGACAAAUGUGUAAGACCUUGCCAAGUAUUGCAAAGCUCAUUGGAAAUUAAUUCAAUUAAAGUAACCUGGACAG